RNAcentral lists this ribosomal RNA (162 nucleotides) under Escherichia coli. Its description in RNAcentral is "partial 16S ribosomal RNA". It matches the Rfam family "Bacterial small subunit ribosomal RNA", at positions 1 to 154 of the family's 1533-position model. Lineage: Bacteria; Pseudomonadati; Pseudomonadota; Gammaproteobacteria; Enterobacterales; Enterobacteriaceae. The record is from RNAcentral.
UUAAAUUGAAGAGUUUGAUCAUGGCUCAGAUUGAACGCUGGCGGCAGGCCUAACACAUGCAAGUCGAACGGUAACAGAAAGCAGCUUGCUGCUUUGCUGACGAGUGGCGGACGGGUGAGUAAUGUCUGGGAAACUGCCUGAUGGAGGGGGAUAACUACUGGA